Molecule: long non-coding RNA, 1470 nt
Filed under: Dromaius novaehollandiae (emu)
Lineage: Eukaryota; Metazoa; Chordata; Aves; Casuariiformes; Dromaiidae
Description: lncRNA (ENSDNVG00000015211.1)
Rfam family: Small nucleolar RNA SNORA13 (bases 519-652)
Source: RNAcentral
GCGGCACAGCAGCGCGCGAGCUCAACGGUCGGGCUGCGGCACGGCGCCUGCGCGCAGGCGGGGCUAGGGGCGGGGUGCUCCUCGCGCGGGGGCUACUGCAUCGCCCCCCUCGGGGGGGGGGGCGGGCGUGGUGCUCCUCGCCGCCUCGGCUGCGCCGCGCCCUCCAGCCUGGGCUCCUCGCUGCUGCCCGCGGCCCGCAGGAGUUAGAGCAGACUGCCCCCGCGGGACACGGUGCAUCCCGCCCCGGCCCUCCUACCCGCUCUGCGGGAGGGGUCGGCACACGCCGCACCCCUCCGCUACGAGGGGGAUGAGAGCAAUGGAAAUCUGCCGGCAUGAUCAGCACAUGAUGUCCCAAGAGCAUGGUAUGAUGGUGCUUUUCCGAUUAAAUGCUUACCCUAUAUAAAUAAUUAUUUAUGUUUGAAUUUAGAAUAACUUAACCUAUUGAGAAAUUGAUCUCUUUCACAUGCUGUUAAUUUAAUUCUGCAGAGAGAAAUGAUCGGUCUUGUUAUUUAAAUCUUUGCCUUUGUGUUGCCCAUUCAUUCACUUCCAGAAUGAAUGUGGUGUCAAAAAAGGCAAACAACAAUUCUUGCUAAAACUGUUUUAAGGAGUUGGUUUAUUUACCUUUCUCCUYCCUGGUUUUGCAAGGACAGAAAAAAAAGUCUCUUAGAGGUUAUAUGGUUUAGUUUAUAUGAUUGAACAAUUACAUAGUACAUUUUAUGUUUUAGUCUUUCUAAGUUUUAAGUCUUUCUAAGAAUCUGACAGUCAUUAGAAAAGGAAAAUAAUAUAAUAGUUUAAUGUCUACUUUUAGCAUUAUUUAGCUAUCCCGACUGUAAGGAUAACCUUUAGUGCUAUGCUGCAAGUAAUUACUUUAUAGCAUUGCGUUUUGUUUGUUUUUUAACUCCUUUGGGGUCUGUUAAAGUAAGCUUAGGUUAACGUUAAGGAACUUAACACUGUACCUAAAACUUUCAUUGCAGUUCUGAAAGUAGUUUUAGCGUUGCUCUUAAAACAAUACAAAAAGAUGGCAAGAAUUGGGGCUAUAUGUAUUUGUUGGAAUAACAUAUAUUUUAUAUAGUGGAAAAAAGAAUGGAUAAAAAGUUGCAGCUGAUGUGCACAGAUCGUGCUGCACUGUGGUGAGAAUUUUCUCUGUCCAUUGGAUAAAAUGGAGGUCUCCAUGUGGUCAAGGGGUUUAGCAAUAAUGCAAGGUUUUUCUUUAACUGUGCAGGUUUAGGGCAGGUGUCCCCUCCCCCCACCCUUCUUCCUAGUAGUAAACAUUAGAAACUUUGAGAGACUCUCCUCCACAAAUUUAAAUCAGCAAUGGCUUUUUAAUGCGCAGCUAACUCUUACUACAAAGCUACAUGGAACAGUCUAGUAUCAAAAAGAUGGCAGGCAUAUCAGGCCUAGACUUUUUCUAAUGUUGAAGCAACAGAAGUAUCAAUGUUGCAAGCCAAUAAAAUAUAAAGCAGUCUUGCA